Molecule: ribosomal RNA, 525 nt
Filed under: Friesella schrottkyi
Lineage: Eukaryota; Metazoa; Arthropoda; Insecta; Hymenoptera; Apidae
Description: partial 16S ribosomal RNA
Rfam family: Bacterial large subunit ribosomal RNA (bases 373-525)
Source: RNAcentral
GUCUUAUUGAAAAUAAUUUUAAGUCGAUCUGCCCAAUGAGUAUUUAAAUGGCUGCAGUAUAACUAACUGUACAAAGGUAGCAUAAUCAAUUGAUUUUUAAAUGAAAUCUGGAAUGAAAGGAUUAAUGAAAUAUAUACUGUCUCAUAUUUAUUUAAUGAAUUUAAAAUUUUAAUAAAAAUGUUAAAAUUUUUUUAUGGGACGAUAAGACCCUAUAGAAUUUUAUAUUACUUUAUUUUUGUAAUUAAAUAUAAAAUUUAAAUUAAUAUUUGAUUGGGAGAAUCAUUAAAUUUGAUAAAUUUUAAUAAAUAAAAACUUUAAUUAAAGAAAAUUUUUGAUCUUUAAUUUAAAAUUGUUAGAAUAAAUUACCUUAGGGAUAACAGCGUAAUAUUUUUUUAUAGAUCGUAUAGAAAAAAAUGGUUGCGACCUCGAUGUUGAAUUAAGAUAAAUUUUAAAUGUAGAAGUUUAAUAAUUAAGUCUGUUCGACUUUUAAAAUCUUACAUGAUUUGAGUUCAAAUCGACGUAAGU